UUUGUGAUGAAAGUGAAUUAAGCCAACAAGGUUUCAAGAGCCUUGUUGGCUUUUUUAAUUUCUAGACAUCAAAAAAUCGGAUUGGUAAAAAUCUCAAAACUUCGAUUUCCACCAAUCCGAUUCACUCUGUAAUAAAGAAUAAACAACAUACAGCCAUUGACACACCCAAAUUUAGGCGCGUCAAAUCGGCUAUACAUUGAUAAAUUUUUAGUUAAAGUACUUACAAAUAUACUUGCCUUCAAAUUCUCAAUUAAUUUAGUCAUUACAUGCCAUGACAUAAAGCUUACAUUACAUAUAUUAACAUGUUCCGCUACAAAACAUAUUCAGUAUAUGUAUAGAGGAUAUUUAUUCUAAGUUAAAACCUUUUCAAAUUAUAACCGCUACAAUUAUAAAUGAUUAAAGUGUUUCAACAUAUUAUAUAUAUUCCACGCUCACA
Staphylococcus aureus subsp. aureus 21195 is the source of this 436-nucleotide non-coding RNA. The record is from Rfam. NCBI's taxonomy places the organism in Bacteria, Bacillati, Bacillota, Bacilli, Caryophanales, Staphylococcaceae.